GCUGUGAUGGGGAGCGAAAUUUAGUAGCGAAGCGUCUGAUGUCACACUGCCGAGAAAAGCUUCUAGUGAGUACUUAACUACCCGUACCGCAAACCGACACAGGUAGUCGAGGAGAGAAUCCUAAGGUGAGCGAGUGAACUCUCGUUAAGGAACUCGGCAAAAUGACCCCGUAACUUCGGGAGAAGGGGUGCUGAUCGCAAGAUCAGCCGCAGUGAAUAGGCCCAGGCGACUGUUUAUCAAAAACACAGGUCUCUGCAAAAUCGUAAGAUGACGUAUAGGGGCUGACGCCUGCCCGGUGCUGGAAGGUUAAAAGGAUGGGUUAGCUUCGGCGAAGCUCAGAAUUGAAGCCCCAGUAAACGGCGGCCGUAACUAUAACGGUCCUAAGGUAGCGAAAUUCCUUGUCGGGUAAGUUCCGACCCGCACGAAAGGCGUAACGAUCUGGGCACUGUCUCAACGAGAGACUCGGUGAAAUUAUAUUGUCCGUGAAGAUGCGGACUACCCGCGACAGGACGGAAAGACCCCAUGGAGCUUUACUGUAGCUUGAUAUUGAGUGUUUGUACAGCUUGUACAGGAUAGGUAGGAGCCAUAGAAACCGGAACGCUAGUUUCGGUGGAGGCGUUGGUGGGAUACUACCCUCGCUGUAUGACCACUCUAACCCGCACCACUAAUCGUGGUGGGAGACAGUGUCAGGUGGGCAGUUUGACUGGGGCGGUCGCCUCCUAAAAAGUAACGGAGGCGCCCAAAGGUUCCCUCAGAAUGGUUGGAAAUCAUUCGCAGAGUGUAAAGGCACAAGGGAGCUUGACUGCGAGACAGACAGGUCGAGCAGGGACGAAAGUCGGGCUUAGUGAUCCGGUGGUACCGUAUGGAAGGGCCAUCGCUCAACGGAUAAAAGCUACCCUGGGGAUAACAGG
RNAcentral lists this ribosomal RNA (911 nucleotides) under Lactobacillus delbrueckii subsp. bulgaricus. Its description in RNAcentral is "partial 23S ribosomal RNA". It matches the Rfam family "Bacterial large subunit ribosomal RNA", at positions 1560 to 2481 of the family's 2925-position model. The record is from RNAcentral. Lineage: Bacteria; Bacillati; Bacillota; Bacilli; Lactobacillales; Lactobacillaceae.